RNAcentral lists this ribosomal RNA (460 nucleotides) under uncultured bacterium. Its description in RNAcentral is "partial 16S ribosomal RNA". It matches the Rfam family "Bacterial small subunit ribosomal RNA", at positions 338 to 795 of the family's 1533-position model. The record is from RNAcentral.
CCUACGGGUGGCAGCAGUGAGGAAUAUUGGUCAAUGGGCUUACGCCUGAACCAGCCAAGUCGCGUGAGGGAAGACUGCCCUAUGGGUUGUAAACCUCUUUUGUCAGGGAGCAAUUGGCGCUACGUGUAGCGUUAUCGAGAGUACCUGAAGAAAAAGCAUCGGCUAACUCCGUGCCAGCAGCCGCGGUAAUACGGAGGAUGCGAGCGUUAUCCGGAUUUAGUGGGUUUAAAGGGUGCGCAGGCGGGAGAUCAAGUCAGCGGUAAAAUGUCGGGGCUCAACCCCGGCCGGCCGAUGAAACUGGUUUUGUAGAGUUGGAGAGAGGUAUGCGGAAGUCGUGGUGUAGCGGUGAAAUGCAUAGAUAUCACGAAGAACGCCGAUGGCGAAGGCAGCAUACCGGCUCCAUACUGACGCUGAGGCACGAAAGCGUGGGGAUCGAACAGGAUUAGAUACCCGAGUAGUC